This 261-nucleotide ribosomal RNA is filed under the name uncultured Oscillibacter sp. RNAcentral describes it as "partial 16S ribosomal RNA". It matches the Rfam family "Bacterial small subunit ribosomal RNA", at positions 78 to 339 of the family's 1533-position model. The record is from RNAcentral. Lineage: Bacteria; Bacillati; Bacillota; Clostridia; Eubacteriales; Oscillospiraceae.
AAUUGAAGCAGAGGACAGUGGCGGACGGGUGAGUAACGCGUGAGGAACCUGCCUUUCAGAGGGGGACAACAGUUGGAAACGACUGCUAAUACCGCAUGACACAUAGGUGUCGCAUGGCACUUAUGUCAAAGAUUUAUUGCUGAAAGAUGGCCUCGCGUCUGAUUAGAUAGUUGGCGGGGUAACGGCCCACCAAGGCGACGAUCAGUAGCCGGUCUGAGAGGAUGAACGGCCACAUUGGGACUGAGAUACGGCCCAGACUCC